GGAGGGUGCAAGCGUUAUCCGGAUUCACUGGGUUUAAAGGGUGCGUAGGCGGGCAGGUAAGUCCGUGGUGAAAUCUCUGAGCUUAACUCAGAAACUGCCAUGGAUACUAUUUGUCUUGAAUAUUGUGGAGGUAAGCGGAAUAUGUCAUGUAGCGGUGAAAUGCUUAGGUAUGACAUAGAACACCAAUUGCGAAGGCAGCUUACUACACAGUUAUUGACGCUGAGGCACGAAAGCGUGGGGAUCAAACAGGAUUAGAUACCCUGGUAGUCCACGCCCUAAACGAUGAUUACUCGACAUCAGCGAUACACUGUUGGUGUCUGAGCGAAAGCAUUAAGUAAUCCACCUGGGAAGUACGAUCGCAAGAUUG
RNAcentral lists this ribosomal RNA (367 nucleotides) under uncultured bacterium. RNAcentral's name for it is "bacterial SSU rRNA". It matches the Rfam family "Bacterial small subunit ribosomal RNA", at positions 527 to 896 of the family's 1533-position model. The record is from RNAcentral.